UGAAACCCUAGCCGCUUCCCUCCCUCUCACAAACCCUAGCCGGCCGUUCUCCGUCCCUCUUCUUCACUGCACCGUCGCUCCGCCGGCCCAACGCCGCAUCGUCCCGAUAUCCUCCUCCCUCGCGCUCACUGCCGCCAUCGCACCCCCCUUCCCUCUCGCCUUUCCUGCCUUUUCGCGUUGCACCGCUUCGAUCUUUCUUCCUCUUGAUCUCAGAGGAAGGAAGAAUACGAAGGGUUGGAUUGAUUAUCAUCAAUUGAUGCUAGGAGCCUUUGAAUUAACUGUGUUGCUUGUGGGAGUCUUCCGGAGUCAAUCGAGUCCAUUGUUGAAGAAGCUGCUGCCAAUUGUUCAAAUGAUUGUUUUUCAGAUGCUAGCAAAAUGACAAGGCUUGCUCUAUGCUCGACAUGAUUUGAUCGAGAAAUUAUCAUGCGUGACAACCUACAGGUUUUACCACGCUUUAGAUGCAAUUUGUUCUAUUGGUGAUUUUUGGUUGGGAAAACCUUGCUCUUUGGAGCAACAAUUGGCUGCUGAUGGGCAAAAUGCUUGUGCCAAUGUUGCUAUUGUUGUUGAACAAACUAUUGGCUUUCAAUAAGAAUGGUUCAACUUGAUGGAGACCAAACUGAUGCAUUGAUGAAACAUUUGGAUUGUGAGACUUCCCUUCUGCUUUGGCCAUGAAUUUUGUGUCUCCUUUUAACAAAUAGCUGGUUGAUCCCUUCGUGUAGAUAAGCUCUGAUAACAUUAGAAAAAAUGAUAAGUCUAAGGA
Molecule: long non-coding RNA, 760 nt
Organism: Momordica charantia (bitter melon)
Lineage: Eukaryota; Viridiplantae; Streptophyta; Magnoliopsida; Cucurbitales; Cucurbitaceae
Source: RefSeq, a predicted model, not a curated record